This 482-nucleotide ribosomal RNA is filed under the name uncultured bacterium. RNAcentral describes it as "partial 16S ribosomal RNA". It matches the Rfam family "Bacterial small subunit ribosomal RNA", at positions 30 to 507 of the family's 1533-position model. The record is from RNAcentral.
AUUGAACGCUGGCGGCAUGCCUUACACAUGCAAGUCGAACGGUAACGGGCCUUCGGGUGCCGACGAGUGGCGCACGGGUGAGUAAUACAUCGGAACGUGCCCGAUCGUGGGGGAUAACGAGGCGAAAGCUUUGCUAAUACCGCAUACGAUCUACGGAUGAAAGCAGGGGACCGCAAGGCCUUGCGCGGACGGAGCGGCCGAUGGCAGAUUAGGUAGUUGGUGGGAUAAAAGCUUACCAAGCCGACGAUCUGUAGCUGGUCUGAGAGGAUGAUCAGCCACACUGGGACUGAGACACGGCCCAGACUCCUACGGGAGGCAGCAGUGGGGAAUGUUGGACAAUGGGCGCAAGCCUGAUCCAGCCAUGCCGCGUGCAGGAUGAAGGCCUUCGGGUUGUAAACUGCUUUUGUACGGAACGAAAAGCCUUCUUUUAAUACAGGAGGGUCAUGACGGUACCGUAAGAAUAAGCACCGGCUAACUACGUG